This 253-nucleotide ribosomal RNA is filed under the name uncultured bacterium. RNAcentral describes it as "partial 16S ribosomal RNA". It matches the Rfam family "Bacterial small subunit ribosomal RNA", at positions 524 to 776 of the family's 1533-position model. The record is from RNAcentral.
UACGUAGGGUGCGAGCGUUGUCCGGAAUUAUUGGGCGUAAAGGGCGCGUAGGCGGUCUUGCAAGUCCUGUGUGAAAUCCCUCGGCUCAACUGAGGAACUGCACAGGAAACUGCUUGGCUUGAGUUCGGGAGAGGGAAGCGGAAUUCCGGGUGUAGCGGUGAAAUGCGUAGAUAUCCGGAGGAACACCGGUGGCGAAGGCGGCUUCCUGGACCGACACUGACGCUGAGGCGCGAAAGCUAGGGGAGCAAACGGG